CUUGCUUCCCCUUUGCCUUUCCCCAUGAUUGUAAGUUUCCUGAGGCCUCCCCAGAAGCAGAAACCUGUACAGCCCAUAGAACGUGAGCUGAUUAAACCUCUUUUCUUUAUAAAUUACCCAGGCUCA
Molecule: long non-coding RNA, 126 nt
Organism: Nomascus leucogenys (northern white-cheeked gibbon)
Lineage: Eukaryota; Metazoa; Chordata; Mammalia; Primates; Hylobatidae
Exons: 3
Source: RefSeq, a predicted model, not a curated record